Molecule: ribosomal RNA, 460 nt
Filed under: uncultured bacterium
Lineage: Bacteria
Description: partial 16S ribosomal RNA
Rfam family: Bacterial small subunit ribosomal RNA
Source: RNAcentral
CCUACGGGUGGCAGCAGUGAGGAAUAUUGGUCAAUGGACGCAAGUCUGAACCAGCCAUGCCGCGUGCAGGAAGACUGCUCUAUGAGUUGUAAACUGCUUUUGUACGAGAGUAAACGCAGAUACGCGUAUCUGUCUGCAAGUAUCUUACGAAUAAGGAUCGGCUAACUCCGUGCCAGCAGCCGCGGUAAUACGGGGGAUUCAAGCGUUAUCCGGAUUUAUUGGGUUUAAAGGGUGCGUAGGCGGUCGGAUAAGUUAGUGGUGAAAUCCAGAGGCUCAACUGUGGAAUUGCCUCUGAUACUGGUAGGCUAGAGUACAGUUGCGGUAGGCGGAAUGUAUGGUGUAGCGGUGAAAUGCUUAGAGAUCAUACAGAACACCGAUUGCGAAGGCAGCUUACCAAGCUACUUCUGACGUUGAGGCACGAAAGCGUGGGGAGCAAACAGGAUUAGAUACCCCAGUAGUC